GAUGAAGAACGUAGCGAAAUGCGAUACGUAAUGUGAAUUGCAGAAUUCAGUGAAUCAUCGAAUCUUUGAACGCAUAUUGCGCUCUCUGGUAUUCCGGAGAGCAUGCUUGUUUGAGUAUCAGUAAACACCUCAACUUCCAUAUCUUUUUUGAAAUGGGAGUUGGACUUGAGUGAUCCCUACGCUUUUCCUCACCGAAAAGUGGCGGGUUACUUGAAAUGCAGGUGCAGCUGGACUUUUCUCUGAGCUAUAAGCAUAUCUAUUUAGUCUGCCUAAAAAACAGAUUAUUACCUUUGCUGCAGCUAACAUAAAGGAGAUUAGUUCUUGUGCUGACUGAUGCAGGAUUCACAAAGACAGGCUUCGGCCGACUUUGUAAACUCGAUCUCAAAUCAAGUAAGACUACCCGCUGAACUUAAGCAUAUCAAUAAGCGGAGGA
Molecule: unclassified non-coding RNA, 433 nt
Filed under: soil metagenome
Description: partial contains 5.8S ribosomal RNA, internal transcribed spacer 2, and large subunit ribosomal RNA
Rfam family: 5.8S ribosomal RNA (bases 1-120)
Source: RNAcentral